UACGGAGGGUGCAAGCGUUGUCCGGAUUUACUGGGCGUAAAGGGCGUGCAGGUGGCUUGUUAUGUCGGGUGUGAAAUCCCGCGGCUCAACCGCGGAACUGCGCUCGAAACUGGCGAGCUUGAGUGCGGAAGGGGGUGGUGGAAUUCCCGGUGUAGAGGUGAAAUUCGUAGAUAUCGGGAAGAAUACCGGUGGCGAAGGCGACCGCCUGGUCCGCAACUGACACUGAGACGCGAAAGCGUGGGGAGCAAACAGA
RNAcentral lists this ribosomal RNA (253 nucleotides) under uncultured bacterium. RNAcentral's name for it is "partial 16S ribosomal RNA". It matches the Rfam family "Bacterial small subunit ribosomal RNA", at positions 524 to 776 of the family's 1533-position model. The record is from RNAcentral.